RNAcentral lists this ribosomal RNA (502 nucleotides) under uncultured Glomeromycotina. RNAcentral's name for it is "partial small subunit ribosomal RNA". It matches the Rfam family "Eukaryotic small subunit ribosomal RNA", at positions 591 to 1092 of the family's 1831-position model. The record is from RNAcentral. Lineage: Eukaryota; Fungi; Glomeromycota.
CCAAUAGCGUAUAUUAAAGUUGUUGCAGUUAAAAAGCUCGUAGUUGAAUUUCGGGGUUCAUACGUUGGUCGGGCUAUUUGGUCUGUACUUAUGUAAUGGAUUCCUACCUUCUGAAUAACCGGCAUGUCAUUAAUUUGGUGCGCCGGGGAAGCAGGACUGUUACCUUGAAAAAAUUAGAGUGCUUAAAGCAGGCUAUCGCCUGAAUACAUUAGCAUGGAAUAAUGAAAUAGGACGGCAUGGUUCUAUUUUGUUGGUUUCUAGGAUCACCGUAAUGAUUAAUAGGGAUAGUUGGGGGCAUUAGUAUUCAAUUGUAAGAGGUGAAAUUCUUGGAUUUAUUGACGACUAACUUCUGCGAAAGCAUUUGCCAAGGAUGUUUUCAUUAAUCAAGAACGAAAGUUAGGGGAUCGAAGACGAUCAGAUACCGUCGUAGUCUUAACCAUAAACUAUGCCGACUAGGGAUCGGACGAUGUUAAUUUUUUAAUGACUCGUUCGGCGCCUUACG